UACGUAGGGACCAAGCGUUGUCCGGAAUCAUUGGGCGUAAAGAGCGUGUAGGCGGCUUGUUAAGUCUUGCGUGAAAUCUCGGGGCUCAACCCCGAGCGGUCGUGAGAAACUGGCAGGCUAGAGUGCGGGAGAGGAGAGCGGAAUUCCUGGUGUAGCGGUGAAAUGCGCAGAUAUCAGGAAGAACACCCGUGGCGAAGGCGGCUCUCUGGAACGCAACUGACGCUGAGACGCGAAAGCGUGGGGAGCAAACAGG
This 253-nucleotide ribosomal RNA is filed under the name uncultured bacterium. Its description in RNAcentral is "partial 16S ribosomal RNA". It matches the Rfam family "Bacterial small subunit ribosomal RNA", at positions 524 to 776 of the family's 1533-position model. The record is from RNAcentral.